Molecule: microRNA precursor, 201 nt
Filed under: Prunus persica (peach)
Lineage: Eukaryota; Viridiplantae; Streptophyta; Magnoliopsida; Rosales; Rosaceae
Description: miR156c stem-loop (ppe-MIR156c)
Gene: ppe-MIR156c
Rfam family: mir-156 microRNA precursor family (bases 58-146)
Source: miRBase by way of RNAcentral
UCUCUGUGGAUGUGGAAUAUAGUAAAGUAAAAUAGGGGAAGCUCAAGCUUGAAGCUACUGACAGAAGAGAGUGAGCACACAAACGCAGGCAAUUGUAUAAAAGCAUAUACCUUGGUGCGGUGCGUGCUCACUUCUCUCUCUGUCAGCUGCUGCUGCCGCCCUUGCCCUUCCAGUCUUUGAUCUCACUUAAAUUCACAGAGA